UUGACCUCGGAUCAGGUAGGGAUACCCGCUGAACUUAAGCAUAUCAAANCGCGAA
RNAcentral lists this ribosomal RNA (55 nucleotides) under Ascochyta medicaginicola var. medicaginicola. RNAcentral's name for it is "partial 28S ribosomal RNA". Lineage: Eukaryota; Fungi; Ascomycota; Dothideomycetes; Pleosporales; Didymellaceae. The record is from RNAcentral.